CCCAACCUACGGGACGCAGCAGUGGGGAAUAUUGGGCAAUGGGCGCAAGCCUGACCCAGCAACGCUGCGUGAAGGAAGAAGGCUUUCGGGUUGUAAACUUCUUUUAUGAGGGACGAAACAAAUGACGGUACCUCAUGAAUAAGCCACGGCUAACUACGUGCCAGCAGCCGCGGUAAUACGUAGGUGGCAAGCGUUAUCCGGAUUUACUGGGUGUAAAGGGCGUGUAGGCGG
This 231-nucleotide ribosomal RNA is filed under the name uncultured bacterium. RNAcentral describes it as "partial 16S ribosomal RNA". It matches the Rfam family "Bacterial small subunit ribosomal RNA", at positions 331 to 578 of the family's 1533-position model. The record is from RNAcentral.